GACGCUGGCGGCAGGCUUAACACAUGCAAGUCGAGCGCCCCGCAAGGGGAGCGGCAGACGGGAGAGUAACACGUGGGAACAUACCUUUUGGUUCGGAACAACUGAGGGAAACUUCAGCUAAUACCGGAUAAGCCCUUACGGGGAAAGAUUUAUCGCCGAAAGAUUGGCCCGCGUCUGAUUAGCUAGUUGGUGAGGUAACGGCUCACCAAGGCGACGAUCAGUAGCUGGUCUGAGAGGAUGAUCAGCCUCAUUGGGACUGAGACACGGCCCAAACUCCUACGGGAGGCAGCAGUGGGGAAUAUUGGACAAUGGGCGCAAGCCUGAUCCAGCCAUGCCGCGUGAGUGAUGAAGGCCUUAGGGUUGUAAAGCUCUUUUGCCCGGGAAGAUAAUGACGGUACCGGGAGAAUAAGCCCCGGCUAACUUCGUGCCAGCAGCCGCGGUAAUACGAAGGGGGCUAGCGUUGCUCGGAAUCACUGGGCGUAAAGCGCACGUAGGCGGACUCUUAAGUCAGGGGUGAAAUCCUGGAGCUCAACUCCAGAACUGCCUUUGAUACUGGGAGCCUUGAGUUCGGGAGAGGUGAGUGGAACUGCGAGUGUAGAGGUGAAAUUCGUAGAUAUUCGCAAGAACACCAGUGGCGAAGGCGGCUCACUGGCCCGAUAC
Molecule: ribosomal RNA, 660 nt
Filed under: uncultured bacterium
Lineage: Bacteria
Description: bacterial SSU rRNA
Rfam family: Bacterial small subunit ribosomal RNA
Source: RNAcentral